Non-coding RNA from Trachymyrmex cornetzi, 47 nucleotides. The record is from Rfam. Lineage: Eukaryota; Metazoa; Arthropoda; Insecta; Hymenoptera; Formicidae.
CAAUCGGCCCUUUUCAGGGCCAUCACAAAGCUACACAAUCAGCCCUU